Molecule: long non-coding RNA, 1590 nt
Organism: Pseudopipra pipra
Lineage: Eukaryota; Metazoa; Chordata; Aves; Passeriformes; Pipridae
Exons: 3
Source: RefSeq, a predicted model, not a curated record
CACGCUUCUUGAGUCUGCUCUGCAAUGGUAACUUCAUACCUGAUGUUUUUGGUUUAGGAAAGGAAGGGUGGAAGGCACUGGCCAGGGCUGCAAAGCUGCAAGUGCAUCAAGUUACACUGGAGUGUGCCCUGAACUUCCAGCGCUGACAAGGAGCUACAGACCCUGAGAUAUCCCCUGCCCAGCUGGCAAUGACAGAGAGAAAGAGAUAGAUCCACUUGAGGCCACAUCCAGAUCACACACAGAGGCAGCCACAGGUUUAGUGUGUGCUCAGAACAGAAAUCUCCAAAUCUGCAAAUGGCAGAAAAACGGCAAAAUUCCCAAAUCUGCAAAGCCACCACUGGAAACUGUUUUAUGUAUGUACCAAGCAGAUCUUAAAAACACAUUAAGGUCUCUUUGAUCUUUCCCACACCUGCUUAGGACUCUUGGGGGUGGCCAUCACAGCUGAAGGACAUUUAAGCACUGGUUGAAUAUCACAUCCACAAAGUAAAGCUUUCAUAUAGCUUUUUGAGCCCUGGUUGAAAACUGACUUAAUUAUCAACAGUCACACUGUGUCCUUGGGACAUACAGCAUGUUUACUGAAAACAAAGUAAAGGAAGAUGUUUAAAGUGAAAACAGUGACAGCAAAAACCCACAUGAACUCUUGACUUGAUGGCGAGAACAUAUGUAGGGCACAGACAAAGCAACCCAUGUGUCAGAUCAUCUGCUCAGCGCUUGGCAAUGAGACACCCAGGCAUGAGGGACCUGCCUGACACCCUCGUGGAUUACAAAACACCCAAACUGGCACUGUGUGAAGCCUCAUCACUGCAGGGCACCCUAGGGUGGCAACUCAUCCCCACACCCACCCAGAUCCAGUACCACUGGUACAGGUGUGUCCUGUGCUGUCUGCACAAAAGCUCCAGAUAACUCAUGUUUUCUGAUCUUCUGCCCCUUGCUCGAUGCAUUGCUCCUUUGUUUGCCUUCCCUUGCCCUGCAUCUAGAGCAGAGAUUACAAGCUGCACCAUCAGCAGCCCAGUAAGGUCUAAGUCAUAAGGAAGGAUCUGAGUCAUCUCCCCAGGAGAGUAUUUUAGCCAUACAUCAUUGUUUGUUUUCAGGCAAACCCGUACAAUUAUGCAACAUAAAUUCUUUUAAAGCAUUUGGGACUUCAGUUCAAUUUAAAAUCCUGUAGGCUUUAUGGCCAGAGUGAGUGAUUACUAAAUGUGUGCAUACAAAUGAAGACUUGGGAAGACGCACGUGGGGAGGAUUAAAGGGCAUAUGAAGCCUCAUACACACACCAGGCAAGCUCUGGCCAGGCUGAACCAGAAGAUGGGAGAGCUGAAGAGCCCAUGUCAAAAGAUGGAACACAAAUCACCCCCUGCCAGCACAAAUUCCAUGUGAGCCUUUCUGGCGUGAGCAAGAUGCAAACCCAGAUGUAAACUCUGCUGAAGCUGGGGGAAUUAUUGACAACUGAUACUGAGGCAAUCCAAGGCCAGACCCUGACCUAUUGAUUUCCCUGGGAUUGCACGGGACCUGUGCAGUUCAUUGCAGAAUACAGUCUUUGUUUUGUUUAUUACUCAAUAUAUAACCACGUGGAAUAAAGGACACCGCAGAACU